RNAcentral lists this ribosomal RNA (237 nucleotides) under uncultured bacterium. RNAcentral describes it as "partial 16S ribosomal RNA". It matches the Rfam family "Bacterial small subunit ribosomal RNA", at positions 15 to 245 of the family's 1533-position model. The record is from RNAcentral.
GAUCCUGGCUCAGGACGAACGCUGGCGGCGUGCCUAACACAUGCAAGUCGAACGGAGUUGAAAGGAGCUUGCUUUUUUCAACUCAGUGGCGGACGGGUGAGUAACGCGUGAGUAACCUGCCUUUCAGAGGGGGAUAACGUUCUGAAAAGAACGCUAAUACCGCAUAAGAUUGUAGCUUCGCAUGGAGCAGCAAUCAAAGGAGCAAUCCGCUGAAAGAUGGACUCGCGUCCGAUUAGA